RNAcentral lists this unclassified non-coding RNA (387 nucleotides) under fungal sp. RNAcentral describes it as "partial internal transcribed spacer region". Lineage: Eukaryota; Fungi. The record is from RNAcentral.
AAGUCGUAACAAGGUUUCCGUUGCGGAAGGAUCAUUAACACGUAUCCAACGUUAAAACAACCCCGUGAACUUUCAGCUUGCUCCAGCCCGUGAAAACAGCAAUCCUGGUAAAGCAUAGCUUUGAGUCAGGGCUCUGCCGAUUGUGAUAUUUUAUAGCUACGGUUGAGCGAUUGCAUCUAGUGACCUGGCAUCCCCAAGUAAUCAGUGUCUGAAAGUGUCAUUGAUUAUGUAAGGAUGGCGCAGUCACGAUCGCUGUAGGCCCACACGGCCGGCGACCGGGUCACCGGGCUCUGCCCCUUUACGACAACACAGUACGAAUUGGCCGCGCGUGAAAUUCGCACGGCACCAAAAACCGAACAACUGUUAACAAUGGAUAUCUUGGUUCUC